GACGAACCGUACGAACGUUAUUCGGAAUUACUGGGCUUAAAGGGUGCGUAGGCGGCUCAGUAAGUUGGGUGUGAAAUCCCUCGGCUUAACCGAGGAAUUGCGCCCAAAACUACUGUGCUCGAGGGAGAUAGAGGUGAGCGGAACUUAGGGUGGAGCGGUGAAAUGCAUUGAGAUCGGAAAGAACACCAACGGCGAAAGCACUCUGCUGGGCCGACACUGACACUGAGAGACGAAAGCUAGGGGAGCAAAUGGG
Molecule: ribosomal RNA, 253 nt
Filed under: uncultured bacterium
Lineage: Bacteria
Description: partial 16S ribosomal RNA
Rfam family: Bacterial small subunit ribosomal RNA
Source: RNAcentral